CUACGGGCCGCUCCAGUGAGGAAUAUUGCACAAUGGGGGGAACCCUGAUGCAGCAACGCCGCGUGGAGGAUGACGCAUUUCGGUGUGUAAACUCCUUUUAUAUGUCAAGAAAAUGACGGUAGCAUAUGAAUAAGCACCGGCUAACUCCGUGCCAGCAGCCGCGGUAAUACGGAGGGUGCAAGCGUUACUGUGGAAUCACUGGGCGUAAAGGACGCGUAGGCGGGUUGGAAAGUCAGGUGUGAAAUCCUACAGCUUAACUGUAGAACUGCACUUGAAACUUCUAAUCUAGAGUAUGGGAGGGGGAGAUGGAAUUAGUGGUGUAGGGGUAAAAUCCGUAGAUAUCACUAGGAAUACCUAAAGCGAAGGCGAUCUCCUGGAACAUUACUGACGCUAAGGCGUGAAAGCGUGGGGAGCAAACAGGAUUAGAUACCCCAGUAGUC
This 440-nucleotide ribosomal RNA is filed under the name uncultured bacterium. RNAcentral's name for it is "partial 16S ribosomal RNA". It matches the Rfam family "Bacterial small subunit ribosomal RNA", at positions 339 to 795 of the family's 1533-position model. The record is from RNAcentral.